RNAcentral lists this ribosomal RNA (630 nucleotides) under uncultured bacterium. RNAcentral's name for it is "bacterial SSU rRNA". It matches the Rfam family "Bacterial small subunit ribosomal RNA", at positions 100 to 767 of the family's 1533-position model. The record is from RNAcentral.
UCCGGAGAGUAACACGUGGGAACGUACCCUUCAGUUCGGAACAACCCAGGGAAACUUGGGCUAAUACCGAAUACGUCCGUAAGGAGAAAGAUUUAUCGCUGAAGGAUCGGCCCGCGUCUGAUUAGCUAGUUGGUGAGGUAACGGCUCACCAAGGCGACGAUCAGUAGCUGGUCUGAGAGGAUGAUCAGCCUCACUGGGACUGAGACACGGCCCAGACUCCUACGGGAGGCAGCAGUGGGGAAUAUUGGACAAUGGGCGCAAGCCUGAUCCAGCCAUGCCGCGUGGGUGAUGAAGGCCCUAGGGUUGUAAAGCCCUUUCGGCGGGGAAGAUAAUGACGGUACCCGCAGAAGAAGCCCCGGCUAACUUCGUGCCAGCAGCCGCGGUAAUACGAAGGGGGCUAGCGUUGCUCGGAAUCACUGGGCGUAAAGCGCACGUAGGCGGCUCUUUAAGUCAGGGGUGAAAUCCUGGAGCUCAACUCCAGAACUGCCCUUGAUACUGAGGAGCUUGAGUCCGGGAAAGGUGAGUGGAACUGCGAGUGUAGAGGUGAAAUUCGUAGAUAUUCGCAAGAACACCAGUGGCGAAAGCGGCUCACUGGCCCGGUACUGACGCUGAAGUGCGAAAGCGUGGGGG